ACUCAGACACCAAAAGAACACUCUGCACUACCUAGUGAGGUAAGAUUCAUUAACAGUAAAAAUUAAUGACAAAUGGAAAAUAUUGAACAGAAGUCAUUUAUAAUAGCUUCAACUUUGGGCACGAUUGAGGUUUCUGCAUAUGGCUUUGGAUGUUCAACGACCAAUUGAAUAAAAGCUUCCAUGUUGGAAUGUAAUGGAAUGAAUUUCUCAUCCAUCAUUGAACCACAACUUUUCCAUUUCAUAGCCCAGUGGUAGCUCUCUG
This 262-nucleotide unclassified non-coding RNA is filed under the name Hevea brasiliensis (rubber tree). Lineage: Eukaryota; Viridiplantae; Streptophyta; Magnoliopsida; Malpighiales; Euphorbiaceae. The record is from RNAcentral.